CACGGCCCAGACUCCUACGGGAGGCAGCAGUGGGGAAUCUUGCGCAAUGGGCGAAAGCCUGACGCAGCAACGCCGCGUGCGGGAAGAAGGUCUUAGGGUUGUAAACCGCUUUCAGCAGGGACGAAGGCGUCCGGGUUAAUAGCCCGUACGUUGACGGUACCUGCAGAAGAAGGUCCGGCUAACUACGUGCCAGCAGCCGCGGUAAUACGUAGGGACCAAGCGUUGUCCGGAAUCAUUGGGCGUAAAGAGCGUGUAGGCGGCCUGUUAAGUCUUGCGUGAAAUCUCGGGGCUCAACCCCGAGCGGUCGUGAGAAACUGGCAGGCUAGAGUGCGGGAGAGGAGAGUGGAAUUCCUGGUGUAGCGGUGAAAUGCGCAGAUAUCAGGAAGAACACCCGUGGCGAAGGCGGCUCUCUGGAACGCAACUGACGCUGAGACGCGAAAGCGUGGGGAGCAAACAGGAUUAGAUACCCUGGUAGUCCACGCCGUAAACGAUGGAUGCUAGGUGUGGGCGGUGUCGACUCCGUCCGUGCCGAAGCUAACGCAUUAAGCAUCCCGCCUGGGGAGUACGGCCGCAAGGCUAAAACUCAAAGGAAUG
Molecule: ribosomal RNA, 594 nt
Filed under: uncultured bacterium
Lineage: Bacteria
Description: bacterial SSU rRNA
Rfam family: Bacterial small subunit ribosomal RNA
Source: RNAcentral